GCCAGGGCUUGAACAGGCACUUCAAGUAUGGGAUGCUGGCAUCAUAAGCAGUGUCUUAGCCCGCUGUGCCAUACACCAGUCCCCAGAACCAAGCUUUCUUUCUCCCUCCAAAUCUGAUAUCAGUGAAGUAAAGGAGUUUUGCUUGUCCUCAGAGAGGUGUCACAGACUUUUGUCAAACUUGGUUCACUGGGUGUGGUGAUAAAUAAUCUGCACGUGUGUUGAUGUGUUUUAUCAAGCUGAUGAGAGCCCUUGUACUCAGCUAAAGGCUGCUGGGGACCAUGUGCUAAUGGGGUGGACAUGCAGAACCAGUGACAGCCAGGUUACUCAUCAACAGAGAAAGUGUCUACACAAUGCCUCUUUAGUGGGGCAACGAGACCCAAAACAUCACCCUCACCCGUGGCCAGGAAGGGCAGGGGACACAGGCACAGCCCCCUGGGUGGCCACCCCUGGUCACAGUGCCUGAGCUGGAUGAGCUCAUAAUGCAGGUAGCGUCCAUGCCAGGGCUCUGCCGGGCCGGAGACAGAGGUACCAGGAAGAGUUCUCCAUCCGGAGGGCUUCCAGUGGGGGCUGUGAAUGCCAGGAUGGUGGGAGCCCUCUCUCCUGGGAAGGGAGCCUGUGUCUGAGUUGGAGUCCAAGGGACAGAGAUAUGCAAAUAUCGCGGUUUUCCAGUCCUGAAACAUUGAUAAGGUCUGAUAGAGUCAGAGGCACGGCGCUUGGCGGGUAGCGAGGAAGACUUUGGUGACGUAAGCAGAACGUGGUCCACGCCUCCGUCUCCGAGGGGAAAGGCAGGCGCAGCAUCAGACACGGGUGGCAGUGAGUCCCAGCGGGACAGACAGUCUUGGGUGGAAAUAAAGAGUUACUAGAUACUGUAA
Oryctolagus cuniculus (rabbit) is the source of this 872-nucleotide non-coding RNA. Lineage: Eukaryota; Metazoa; Chordata; Mammalia; Lagomorpha; Leporidae. The record is from RefSeq and is a predicted model, not a curated record.